UAUACCAUGUUCCAUGAGCUGAACAUACAUAUUUUGUUUAACUGCAUUCAGUCAACAAUUGCUCUAGUGUCAAUAUGAUUUUACUCCCUUGCUUUCACCACUGUCCUAACCUAGCAAUUGGCAAUUAUGCUGAUUUCUUUUUCAUAUAGAUACCAACUGAAAAAUCAUCUCUAGCAUGUGAAUCUCUGGAUUCUUGACUAUCCUCUUCACAUCCAAAACUUUUAGAUAUUCUAGGAAAACUUGUCUCUGUAUGCGAAGGUAGUGCCAUCAUCCGUCACUCUCAAAUAUCUCCUUGUUCUCCUGCGUCACCCUCAUUGAAGUCUCC
Molecule: long non-coding RNA, 325 nt
Filed under: Elaeis guineensis (African oil palm)
Lineage: Eukaryota; Viridiplantae; Streptophyta; Magnoliopsida; Arecales; Arecaceae
Description: long non-coding RNA (EGUI_LNC075247)
Source: RNAcentral